UUCUGAUAGCUCAGUUGGUAAAGAAUCUGCCUGCAAUGCAGGAGACCCAGGUUCAAUUCCUGGGUCAGGAA
Molecule: transfer RNA, 71 nt
Filed under: Capra hircus (goat)
Lineage: Eukaryota; Metazoa; Chordata; Mammalia; Artiodactyla; Bovidae
Also listed under: 1 other name
Rfam family: tRNA
About the family: Transfer RNA (tRNA) molecules are approximately 80 nucleotides in length. Their secondary structure includes four short double-helical elements and three loops (D, anti-codon, and T loops).
Source: Rfam by way of RNAcentral